AUUGAACGCUGGCGGCAGGCCUAAAACAUGCAAGUCGAACGAGUGGCGGACGGGUGAGUAAUGUCUGGGAAACUGCCCGAUGGAGGGGGAUAACUACUGGAAACGUUAGCUAAUAACGCAUACCCUCGGAUUUGACCAGAGGGGAUUAGCUAGUAGGUGGGGUAAAGGCUAACCUAGGCGCAGAUCCCUAGCUGGUCUGAGAGGAGGACCAGCCACACUGGAACUGAGACACGGUCCAGACUCCUACGGGAGGCAGCAGUGGGGAAUAUUGCACAAGUGGCGCAAGCCUGAUGCAGCCAUGCCGCGGUUAUGAAGAAGGCCGUCGGGUUGUAAAGUACUUUCAGCGGGGAGGCGUUACCCGCAGAAGAAGCACCGGCUAACUCCGUGCCAGCAGCCGCGGUAAUAC
Molecule: ribosomal RNA, 406 nt
Filed under: uncultured bacterium
Lineage: Bacteria
Description: partial 16S ribosomal RNA
Rfam family: Bacterial small subunit ribosomal RNA
Source: RNAcentral